Small nucleolar RNA from Drosophila rhopaloa, 140 nucleotides. RefSeq annotates it as small nucleolar RNA psi18S-841/snoR66. The record is from RefSeq and is a predicted model, not a curated record. Lineage: Eukaryota; Metazoa; Arthropoda; Insecta; Diptera; Drosophilidae. The transcript has a single exon.
GGCAAAUGCACUCUGUGUCACAUUGAAUAAUAGCCACGUGUGAUGACAAUUUGUUAGUUUGCCAUAUUAAAGAAGUGUGUCUUAUCCAUGUAAUCUAGCUCUUAUAUGGGCGAUUACAUUGAAAACUCAUUUUACAUUUA